RNAcentral lists this ribosomal RNA (253 nucleotides) under uncultured bacterium. RNAcentral's name for it is "partial 16S ribosomal RNA". It matches the Rfam family "Bacterial small subunit ribosomal RNA", at positions 524 to 776 of the family's 1533-position model. The record is from RNAcentral.
UACAGAGGGUGCAAGCGUUGUUCGGAAUUAUUGGGCGUAAAGAGCUCGUAGGCGGUCUGUCGCGUCGGCUGUGAAAACCCGGGGCUCAACCCCGGGCCUGCAGUCGAUACGGGCAGACUAGAGUGCGGUAGGGGAGACUGGAAUUCCCGGUGUAGCGGUGAAAUGCGCAGAUAUCGGGAGGAACACCGGUGGCGAAGGCGGUUCUCUGGGCCUUACCUGACGCUGAGGAGCGAAAGCGUGGGGAGCGAACAGG